GUUUCAUCAAACCUAUAGACUAAAACACACCGUUUUAUUAAAGCAAAUGGCUUCUGUAUUGGUUUUGCUCAAACGGUGUCAUAUUGAAGAUUCAAGAAUUAGUUGGUAUUGGCAGGCUUUUCAGUUAGGCAGAUUUGAUCAACCUUCUCCACCUUUUACGGAUCUAUUUCGUAUUUACAGGAGUUCUGUUUUAUUCAGUUAGGGAGGUCUACCUGUCUAAAUACUAUAUCUAGCAGCACAGUAUAAAUUAAGCAAGAUCAAAUACAAUUUCUCUUUGAUAUCUCUCUCUCUUUCUUUCUUUCCUUCUCUCUUGUAAUUGUUUGUUGCUCUUCAAUCUUGCUAAACAUUGUUAGAUUUUCUCUGUUAGAAUUUCUUCAUGGUGUCAGAGCCUUCGAUCUCUGCAAAUAUAGCUCAACCAUGGCAGCAUAAGCUCAGCUAUGGCUUCUUCCUCUACAGCUCCUUCAAGUUCCACUGUAAGUGUAAUGAAUCAACCUCUGCUGUUGUUAUCUAAUGUGGCUAACCUGGUGACUAUUAAGCUAGACAACACAAACUACAUAGUUUGGAAGCACCAGAUCACUAUGGUCUUAGAAACUUACUCGAUGUUUGAACUCUUGGAGGAACCUUAAUUGAUUCCAGAGAAGUAUCUUAAGGAUCUUUCUAGUUCGUUCACAGAAAUUCUGAAUCCAGAUUAUGUGAAUUGGAGGUCAAAAGAAAAGGCUUUGCUCACCUUUAUGAGUUCCACACUUUCUCCCCCUAUUUUGGCUUUAACAGUUGAGUGUACCACUGCAAUGGAGGUGUGGAAGGUUCUAGAGAAUAGGUUUUCAUCUAUUUCUAGGUCUCAUGUAAUGAAUCUCGAAGAAGAGUUGCAUAACAUUAAGAAAGGCACUGAUUCUAUGGACAUUUAUCUACAGAAAAUCAAAGUGGUUAGAGACAAGCUUUUAGCUGUUGGUGUAAUUGUUGAUGAUGAAGAAUUGCUUCAUAUAGCAAUCAAGGGGAUACCUAAGAACUAUAAUGCUUUUAGAUCUGCUAUAAAAUACUAGAAGCACUUAACUUAGCUUUGAUGAGCUUGCUACAAUGUUCAAUGCAAAAGAAGAGUACUUGAAUGAAGGUUUGGAAGUUAAAGAUCCUGUCUUUGCUAUGGCAGCUACUUUCAACUCAAGGCCAAACAACAAUAAUGGCUAUAAUCAGUCCUACAAUCAGUCUUACAACAAUAGAGGAAGGGGUAGAGGCAACUACAACAAUAGAGGAGCUCGAGGGGGAAGAAACUCUAACACUCCACAGAAUCAGUUCAAUCAGUUCUCACAAAAUCAGUUUUCUGGUACUAAAUCAAAGAGGCCAACUUGCAAAAUCUGUGGUAAACUUGGACAUUAGGCUAUUGAUUGCUAUCAUAGGAUGGACUAUGCUUAUCAUGGAAAGCAUCCACCUACAAAACUUGCUGCUAUGGCUACUGCCUCGAAUGCAUGUCUUGCUCGAGAACAACCUUGGCUUGCUGACAAUGCAGCCACAGAUCAUGUGACCUCAAGUCUUAAUCAUCUAAGCUUUCCUAAGCCCUACAAUGGUCAAGGUCAUCUCAUAGUUGGCAAUGGUCAAAAUCUGCCUAUCACUCAUGUUGGCUUUGGCCAAGGGGAAUGUUCUCUACCAGGGCAAGAGUGAAGGUGGUGUCUAUCCCAUCUAUAUAUCCUCACAAAGCUUCAAAGCUUUCCCUUACUUCCAAACUCUGCAACAAUGUUGCUUUGUCUUCUGUUUUCAAUAAAACUCUUUGGCACAUGAGACUAGGUCACCCACAUGAUCAAGUUCUUCAUGUUCUUUUUCCAAAGUUCAAAUAUGUAUCAAAUAAGUGUACUAAUUCUGAUUACUCUUGUACACAUUGCUUAUAUGGAAAAAUGCAUAAACUUCCUUUUCCCAAGUCUCAA
Molecule: long non-coding RNA, 1913 nt
Organism: Quercus robur (English oak)
Lineage: Eukaryota; Viridiplantae; Streptophyta; Magnoliopsida; Fagales; Fagaceae
Exons: 2
Source: RefSeq, a predicted model, not a curated record